UACGUAGGGUGCGAGCGUUAAUCGGAAUUACUGGGCGUAAAGCGAGCGCAGACGGUUAUUUAAGCAGGAUGUGAAAUCCCCGGGCUCAACCUGGGAACUGCGUUCUGAACUGGAUAGCUAGAGUGUGUCAGAGGGGGGUGGAAUUCCACGUGUAGCAGUGAAAUGCGUAGAGAUGUGGAGGAAUACCGAUGGCGAAGGCAGCCCCCUGGGAUAACACUGACGUUCAUGCUCGAAAGCGUGGGUAGCAAACAGG
This 253-nucleotide ribosomal RNA is filed under the name uncultured bacterium. RNAcentral's name for it is "partial 16S ribosomal RNA". It matches the Rfam family "Bacterial small subunit ribosomal RNA", at positions 524 to 776 of the family's 1533-position model. The record is from RNAcentral.